UGCUUGCAUCAUGAUUUACAUUUGAGUGAGUGGCGAACUGGUGAGUAACACGUGGGAAACCUGCCCAGAAGCGGGGGAUAACACCUGGAAACAGAUGCUAAUACCGCAUAACAACUUGGACCGCAUGGUCCGAGUUUGAAAGAUGGCUUCGGCUAUCACUUUUGGAUGGUCCCGCGGCGUAUUAGCUAGAUGGUGGGGUAACGGCUCACCAUGGCAAUGAUACGUAGCCGACCUGAGAGGGUAAUCGGCCACAUUGGGACUGAGACACGGCCCAAACUCCUACGGGAGGCAGCAGUAGGGAAUCUUCCACAAUGGACGAAAGUCUGAUGGAGCAACGCCGCGUGAGUGAAGAAGGGUUUCGGCUCGUAAAACUCUGUUGUUAAAGAAGAACAUAUCUGAGAGUAACUGUUCAGGUAUUGACGGUAUUUAACCAGAAAGCCACGGCUAACUACGUGCCAGCAGCCGCGGUAAUACGUAGGUGGCAAGCGUUGUCCGGAUUUAUUGGGCGUAAAGCGAGCGCAGGCGGUUUUUUAAGUCUGAUGUGAAAGCCUUCGGCUCAACCGAAGAAGUGCAUCGGAAACUGGGAAACUUGAGUGCAGAAGAGGACAGUGGAACUCCAUGUGUAGCGGUGAAAUGCGUAGAUAUAUGGAAGAACACCAGUGGCGAAGGCGGCUGUCUGGUCUGUAACUGACGCUGAGGCUCGAAAGUAUGGGUAGCAAACAGGAUUAGAUACCCUGGUAGUCCAUACCGUAAACGAUGAAUGCUAAGUGUUGGAGGGUUUCCGCCCUUCAGUGCUGCAGCUAACGCAUUAAGCAUUCCGCCUGGGGAGUACGGCCGCAAGGCUGAAACUCAAAGGAAUUGACGGGGGCCCGCACAAGCGGUGGAGCAUGUGGUUUAAUUCGAAGCUACGCGAAGAACCUUACCAGGUCUUGACAUACUAUGCAAAUCUAAGAGAUUAGACGUUCCCUUCGGGGACAUGGAUACAGGUGGUGCAUGGUUGUCGUCAGCUCGUGUCGUGAGAUGUUGGGUUAAGUCCCGCAACGAGCGCAACCCUUAUUAUCAGUUGCCAGCAUUAAGUUGGGCACUCUGGUGAGACUGCCGGUGACAAACCGGAGGAAGGUGGGGAUGACGUCAAAUCAUCAUGCCCCUUAUGACCUGGGCUACACACGUGCUACAAUGGAUGGUACAACGAGUUGCGAACUCGCGAGAGUAAGCUAAUCUCUUAAAGCCAUUCUCAGUUCGGAUUGUAGGCUGCAACUCGCCUACAUGAAGUCGGAAUCGCUAGUAAUCGCGGAUCAGCAUGCCGCGGUGAAUACGUUCCCGGGCCUUGUACACACCGCCCGUCACACC
Molecule: ribosomal RNA, 1350 nt
Filed under: Lactiplantibacillus plantarum
Lineage: Bacteria; Bacillati; Bacillota; Bacilli; Lactobacillales; Lactobacillaceae
Description: bacterial SSU rRNA
Rfam family: Bacterial small subunit ribosomal RNA
Source: RNAcentral